This 253-nucleotide ribosomal RNA is filed under the name uncultured bacterium. Its description in RNAcentral is "partial 16S ribosomal RNA". It matches the Rfam family "Bacterial small subunit ribosomal RNA", at positions 524 to 776 of the family's 1533-position model. The record is from RNAcentral.
UACGUAGGUGGCAAGCGUUAUCCGGAAUUAUUGGGCGUAAAGAGCGCGCAGGUGGUUAAUUAAGUCUGAUGUGAAAGCCCACGGCUUAACCGUGGAGGGUCAUUGGAAACUGGUUGACUUGAGUGCAGAAGAGGGAAGUGGAACUCCAUGUGUAGCGGUGAAAUGCGUAGAGAUAUGGAGGAACACCAGUGGCGAAGGCGGCUUCCUGGUCUGCAACUGACACUGAGGCGCGAAAGCGUGGGGAGCAAACAGG